UAAUCCCUCCAGCGAGUGCUGGGUCUACCCCAGAGUCUCCUCCCUUAUUAGAUGCCCGAACCACUUCAACUGGCUCCUUUCAAUUCUACCACUGGAGGUCAGUGCUCCAUACCCUUAACUUAUUUAGGCUUGGACUUGGUUGAAGAUACUAGAAGACGUCUUCUAGAACCAAGUCCAGUUGCCCUUGACCUCAACCUUCGUUGGACAACAGUCUGAACCUUUCUCUGAGCAACUCUCAGUCUCUCUGGGGCUUGUGAGCACCCCCACACCCAUCUGGCACCUCUCACCCUGGCCAACUCCGGAGAUGGAGAGAGUCCAGCCCCUUUUCAGGAGUUUGGUUCCUGGACCAGUGCAAUGCAUAGAGGGACUGCUUUUGGCUCUGUCUGCUGAACAGUGGGACCAGUUUUGUUGCUGGAUUUGUCAUCUUCUCAGUACUUGGAUUCAUGGCUCAGAAACAGGGUGUUACAGUGGACAAUGUGGUUGAGUCAGGUCCAGGUUUGGCCUUCAUUGCUUACCCUCAGGCAACAGCUAUGAUGCCUUUGCCACAGUUUUGGAGUGUCUGCUUCUUCCUGAUGCUCAUUCUGCUGACAGUUGAUACAAAUUUUGUUAUUGUGGAGAGUGUUAUCACCACAGUGAGCGACAUGUUUCCGAAGUUGUUUCGUGCACCAGUGAGGCAUGAGAUCUUUGUCCUCAUCAUCUGUAUAUCCAGCUUCCUCAUACAGCUUACCUUGGUUACGGAGG
Micropterus dolomieu (smallmouth bass) is the source of this 741-nucleotide long non-coding RNA. RefSeq lists it as uncharacterized. The record is from RefSeq and is a predicted model, not a curated record. Lineage: Eukaryota; Metazoa; Chordata; Actinopteri; Centrarchiformes; Centrarchidae. The transcript has 4 exons.